GUUCUCUCUUCUGCAAUGCACAUACUAACCUGGAAUGAUACAGAGAAGAUUAGCAUGGCCCCUGCACAAAGAUAACACAUAAAUUUGUGAAGCAUUCCAUGUUUUU
Small nuclear RNA from Jaculus jaculus (lesser Egyptian jerboa), 106 nucleotides. NCBI's taxonomy places the organism in Eukaryota, Metazoa, Chordata, Mammalia, Rodentia, Dipodidae. The record is from Ensembl.